This 465-nucleotide ribosomal RNA is filed under the name Vreelandella stevensii. Its description in RNAcentral is "partial 16S ribosomal RNA". It matches the Rfam family "Bacterial small subunit ribosomal RNA", at positions 338 to 795 of the family's 1533-position model. Lineage: Bacteria; Pseudomonadati; Pseudomonadota; Gammaproteobacteria; Oceanospirillales; Halomonadaceae. The record is from RNAcentral.
CCUACGGGUGGCAGCAGUGGGGAAUAUUGGACAAUGGGGGCAACCCUGAUCCAGCCAUGCCGCGUGUGUGAAGAAGGCCCUCGGGUUGUAAAGCACUUUCAGUGAGGAAGAACGCCUGGUGGUUAAUACCCAUCAGGAAAGACAUCACUCACAGAAGAAGCACCGGCUAACUCCGUGCCAGCAGCCGCGGUAAUACGGAGGGUGCGAGCGUUAAUCGGAAUUACUGGGCGUAAAGCGCGCGUAGGUGGCUUGAUAAGCCGGUUGUGAAAGCCCCGGGCUCAACCUGGGAACGGCAUCCGGAACUGUCAAGCUAGAGUGCAGGAGAGGAAGGUGGAAUUCCCGGUGUAGCGGUGAAAUGCGUAGAGAUCGGGAGGAAUACCAGUGGCGAAGGCGGCCUUCUGGACUGACACUGACACUGAGGUGCGAAAGCGUGGGUAGCAAACAGGAUUAGAUACCCCUGUAGUC